The sequence is a small nucleolar RNA, 81 nucleotides long. Its record names the gene U3. It matches the Rfam family "Small nucleolar RNA U3". Rfam says of the family: Small nucleolar RNAs (snoRNAs) are involved in the processing and modification of rRNA in the nucleolus. There are two main classes of snoRNAs: the box C/D class, and the box H/ACA class. The record is from Ensembl.
AAGACUAUACUUUCAGGGAUCAUUUCUAUAGUUUGUGACUCGAGAAAUUUCUCUGAAUGUGUAGAGCACCCAGCCACAUGU